Long non-coding RNA from Rhodamnia argentea, 623 nucleotides. RefSeq lists it as uncharacterized. The record is from RefSeq and is a predicted model, not a curated record. The transcript has 3 exons. NCBI's taxonomy places the organism in Eukaryota, Viridiplantae, Streptophyta, Magnoliopsida, Myrtales, Myrtaceae.
AAGCCAGAUUUUAUUACCGUUGAUGAUUGGAUUGAAAUAAAGAGAAUUUGGGAGAGUGAAAAAAAUAAGCAAAGGAGUGAACAAAAUGCCAAGAAUCGGGCUUCUACUUCUAGUGAAGGGUCUGCGACAUAUGCUCGGGGCUCUAUCAAUAUUGGGGAGCACAGAAAAAGAAUGGCACAUGAAUUGGGGAUGGAACCGACAUAUGCAACUACGUUUGAACGCACAUUUCAAAAGAAAGAUAAGACAUGGAUUGGCGACCGAGCAAAAUCUGUUAAGGAAAAAUAUGAUGAGCUUUUAAUGAGUACGGCUAGUGGCGGUGCUGAUGGGGUUGCGUCCGAGCCAGCAGUUGACAAUAUGGCAUUAUGAGUGGAGGCAUCGGGUGGGAUGAAAAGAGGAAAAAUAUUUGGGAUGGGAUCUUUAUCAAGGGUAUACACAUCAAAGGGUGCUGGCAGUUCAUCCUCCAAUCCGACUAUUUCAAGGAGGACACGACUUGAGGAGGAAAUGACCCAACAUAUGAACCAAUUAAGACAUUUACUUGUACAGAAGGACGAAGAAAUAAAAGUGGUCAAAGAUCAAAUGUCACAGAAGGAUGAGCAAAUCAGACAGGUCAAUGAGCAACAUAA